GACGAACCGUGCGAACGUUGUUCGGAAUCACUGGGCUUAAAGGGCGCGUAGGCGGCUCAUCAAGUCCGGGGUGAAAGCCCCCAGCUCAACUGGGGAAGUGCCUCGGAUAUUGGUGAGCUCGAGGGAGGUAGGGGCGGAUGGAACUUCCGGUGGAGCGGUGAAAUGCGUUGAUAUCGGAAGGAACGCCGGUGGCGAAAGCGAUCCGCUGGCCCUCUACUGACGCUGAGGCGCGAAAGCCAGGGGAGCAAACGGG
RNAcentral lists this ribosomal RNA (253 nucleotides) under uncultured bacterium. RNAcentral describes it as "partial 16S ribosomal RNA". It matches the Rfam family "Bacterial small subunit ribosomal RNA", at positions 524 to 776 of the family's 1533-position model. The record is from RNAcentral.